RNAcentral lists this long non-coding RNA (1043 nucleotides) under Ursus maritimus (polar bear). RNAcentral describes it as "lncRNA (ENSUMAG00000016860.1)". The record is from RNAcentral. Lineage: Eukaryota; Metazoa; Chordata; Mammalia; Carnivora; Ursidae.
UGACCGCCGAGGGAGGAGGGGAGGCCCCAGCAGGCUCGCUGCGCUUGGCAACGAGCUCCUGGACACCCGCACAAGAGAGGUGCGCGUGUGGGGGUGCGGGUGUUGGGGGUUCGGAGGGGAUGGGGAACUCGGGGACGGCAAGUCCAGGCCGGCCGCUCUCGGGAGGGGCUGCCCUCUGGCCCUGGGGAGGAGGGAGCGAAGGGGUGGAGGAGAAGCUGGCCUGGGCGGGGUCCCAGGGGAGGGACUGCGGCUCCUCCCACGUGCCCAGGGCCCCCAGGGAGGAAGGGGUGCGCUGAGGCGCCAGGGAGGGAAGAGCUCAAGCUGGGGAGGAGGGCUUUGCCCAGAAGGAACCGGCCCCUCCUCGCCAACCCCGCUCCCGGUGGGGGGGGGAACCCUCCUCCCCCAGGUUCUCACCGCUCUGGACCGAGAUGCCUCUUGUCGGAAGCAUAAGUUGCGACAAAAACUGGAACAGAUCAUCAGCCUCGUGUCCAGCAACAGCUAAGUGUGGCGGAACCGGGCCCUGUUCUGAGCGCCUGGAGAACUCUAACCAGGCUCGUGCCAGGGCCUGACCUGGGCCUGGAGACUCUGGAACUCUCCUCCUCCCGGCCCUACGGCCAGACUUCCUCCGUGUUGUCUGCACUUGCCCCGGACCCCUCACCCUCCGCUGCCCUGCCCUGCGCCUGCCCUGAGUGGCCUGGCCAAGGCGGCCGUGCCUUACUCCUUUGUUCUUCUUCCUCCUCGGAGGGAUCUGGCCCCGCCUCGUGGUCCCGAAAACCCACUUCUCUCCUCUUCUUUUGGCAUGAGCUUUUUGUUGUCGUUGUUCAUGUAGUUUUUUUCCUCAUUAAAUGUUGGGAACGUGGAGUGCGGGCGUGGCUUUGUCCUUGGGGCAGGUGGGCCGUGGGUGAACAGGGAAGCUGCUGGGGGACAGGCUGUCGGGCUCAGGACUCUGGAUGAGCGGGAGGAAGAGUAACUCGCUGCAGGGGUCCUGAGGAUCUGAGGAGCUCCCGGGCGGUGUCCAGUCCGUCCGUCCUCAGCAAACGCUG